UAAUUCUGCUUGGAUUAGAAGGGUCAAGGCGGUGCCCAGGAUCCCCGCUCAUGCACGAAACAGCAGGUGUAGUAUUCUGUUACCUGUGAGUACCUGAGAACAAUCAAUUAUUGGUGAACAUAAGUGGAAAGAAAGGUAAAAUGGGAAUAAAAUCCAAGUUCAUCUAUAGCGGAUUCGGAGGGGACCAGCCUUCCGCGAUGGCAGAUAACAGGUUGCAAGAAGGUUUUCUGAGUCUCAAAAGCCUGACUGUUAUACAUCAAAACUCAAAGUUGAUGCUUCCAAUGACAGAUGCAGAAGAACACAUAGAGACAGCGAGUGCACUGUCUAGAGACCAGGAGGAGGAAAGCCAGAGGGGAAGCAGGAGAAGGGAAGAAGGUACAGCAAAUGCUGUACCAACAGCGCCGCCCUCUCCCUCCCUCUGAUUAAGGCCAGGAAAGAGGGAGGAAGUGGGCAGGAUCCCCACAAAGAUUUUGGAGAAUGCCAGAGUAGAAAAGGCUGCCUCACGAGGAUGACGCUUCUGCCACCUUGUCCUGGGAAGAGUCCAGUGGAGAUGGCUGAGGGAGCUUCCGGGAUGAGGAAGGAAAUAAGCUUCCUGAAGCCGAAAGCAGGGAACAUGACAGAGGAAGAGAGCACCUGGCUCCAGGGGACACAAGGCCACAGUGAGACUGGCCUCAGGGCUGCGAGGAAGAAACACCUCUGCAGAAAGCAGUGAGGGCUGUGGGGCUUAGAUGCCAGGACAACGGGCGACUCUGCCUGAGGACAAAGGCUGACACUCUGAACUCAGGAUUCCCGUGAGGACGGGCAUUACCCAAGUAGCAGAUACCCCCACUCCCAUUCUCCUUCCCGCCGCCCUGAUACCAGGACGGUCCAAGUCCGUGAGCUCCUGAGAACUCGGACGUCUUCCCUCCUGAAAGCAUGAAGACCAGGAAAAGCUCCCAAAUGGACUCAAUGAACAUUAAAUCUUUAACUUUACCCAGAACUGACGGAGGUUACUUUCACACCCAUCGAGUAGAAUCCAAGGCUCAAAGCAGAGACUCAGUUUAAUUAGACAAAAAUAGGAAAAUAAAAGCUGUAUAAUUUGCACAACUGGUUUCCUCUCUCAAAAAUCUGUAUCUGAUAAACAACAGGGCUUGCUGUGUAUCGCUGUACUCUGUAUGUUGCUUAUAAGGCAACAUAUUGCCAAGAGAAAUCAUCUUUUUCAAUUCAGGAAUCACAAGUUUUCAUUUUCAAAUUCUAAAGCUUUAUGUUUUUUGAUUGAAGUGAUAAUAACUCUUUAAUCAAAGUAACUUUGUCUUUGAUCUAGAAAUACCGUUUCUAGGAAUUUAUUCAAAGGAAAUCAUCCAAAAUGUGCUGAAAAAUAAUAAGAGCAGACAUAGUGGCACUGUUCAUCAUGAUAAAAAUUGGGACAAAAACUUUAAUGACCAACAUGAGGGAAUGGGCCUGCAAACAGCAAAGGUGAAUUGCGGGCUCUGGCAUCACACCGUUUGGCUCCCAAACCACAACUUAGCAGCUGUGUGGCCUCAGUAUGAAGACAAUAGAUGCUACAUUCCAAAGGAGCCCCCUUAUAAAAAUGCCAACUCAGUGGCAAGCACUGUUUAAAUGCCUAGCUCAUAAUGAAGACGUGAAAGGGUUAGAUGAGUAGAUGCAAAAGGAGCUUUUCUGAAGAUCUGUCCUGGAGAGCUGUUGAUGCCCCCCACCCCAAAGAGGACAGAUGUGGGAGGGGGUCUUUUGCUUCAAGUCACAGAAAGGGUUUGGGAGCCCUCCAAGAGCUUCAUGUGAGUCCCCCAGAUGCAGUGGACGGGUGUGCUGAAGGAGCUGAAGGGCAGGUGGCCUGCAUGGGCAGAGCCUGCUGACCCACAGAGGCAAGAGCCCUUCUUGCAGGUCCUUCCUAUAAGGCACCUCCAGGGGCAAACGAGACUUGGUGUGAAAGCUAGAGGAUGGCAUCUUCUGCAUCAGGGGAAUGCUGGUGAGAGGUCUCCACAGACAGGAAUCCCCUAGGAAACUGCAAACACACACUAAGGGAAGAGGAGUCCAGCCCACAGAGUAGGGACAAUCUUAUGACAGCAACGGCCAAGUUCAGACUUGCCUACUCCUCCAACUGUUUCUCCCUGCCCGGACCCCAAUUUCAGAAGGACUAGAAAUACGCUCAAUAAUAAGAAGACACUAAUAAGCUAAAGAAAGAGAAAGUCCUAAAUACUGAAAAGCAAUAUAAAUGCUAAGUAAGCGGAAGGGGCAUGGGAGUUAGGAAGAGAGAAGAGGACCACCCUGUCCUGCCUCUCCAGCCACAGGCUUCCUAUGUGCUGCAGCCUUCAGCAGCGGGUCAGGGGAGUCUAACCCUUGGAUGAAAAUUGAGUUUUGAUUAUUACAUCAAAUGAAAUUGAACAUUUUAUGGAAUUAAGAUCAUGUAUUGUGACUCUAAGUGAUCCAUACAGCUUUAAUGACCUAGAAUUGACCAGAAGGUCCCAGAACUUGUUCACUUUCCAUCUGGGUGCAGGAGAAAACUCAGCCACAUGGAGCAUAUUUACAGGGCAAUGAGAUAGAGCUCAAGUGGCUUUGUGACUAUUCCCACAAGUCUGGCUGGCUUAAUGCUCACCUGUAUUACCAAACCUCUCCUAACCUCAGUUUUCCCCACUGCAAAAUGGAGCCAAUGAUGCUGAAACAUCUAUGAGAAUGAAAGAUCAUCCGGGACAGGAUGUAACGCAGGGCCUGGCAGGAGGAAAGUUCGCGCUGAGCGACAGGGCUUGCUGGUUAACAGACAACUGCGUGGCCACGAAAAUCAUACUUUACGAUACUUAGUAACAAGUAAAUACAGCCAAAACACAUGACGGGAAGAGGCAUGCUACAAACACAGUGACCCCACAUCUAACAGUAUAUAUGUAGUCUUUUUCACAGAAAAUCGUCUGGAAGCUAAAACCCCAAAAUAGUAACAAAGGUAAUAAAAAGAUAGGAGGACUGAAGGUUUUACUGAUUUUCUCUAUUGUUUUUUCAUAAAAUUUCUACAAAAAACAUGUACUGCUUUUGUAAUAACAUAUUUAUUUUUAAUCAAGGAGAAAAUAUAUCACUUCUCUAGUCAGUAUCUGCAGUUUUAAUUGUCCCCUUUGUCAUUUUAUAUCCCCAGCUACUUUAAAAUACACAAAGCCAAGCCUCACGUUGGAGCUGCCAUUCCUCUUCUCCCUGAAGGCGGAUUCUGAAGAAGCCACUUAGCUGCGAAGGCCAGUUUCUGCCCGGGAGCUCAGCUCCACCCAGAAGUCUUGCUAGGCUGCAGGCUUCCAGAGCUCUGCAGCAGGCAGCUGAUGCGUCCGGAGGCACUUCUGGACCUCUGUGGCAUUCAUUACCCUGACUCUGCAGGGAACAGAAUGCAUUUUUUUCCCUCCUACUGGGUUGUGGCAAGAACCCAAUCAGCAUCCAGGAAAGCCUCAGGAUUUUUUUCUUUUCUGUUGGGAACAGUGGCAGCUCUUUUUAAGAGCAAUAAUAUUACUAAAGGGGGAUCAAACAAAGAACAUGCUGGUGGCUUAAAAAAAAAACCAGAAAGUCCCCCAUUUUCCUCCUGCAUUUAGAUGGCUGUUUUCUUUGCUGCCUGAGCUCUCUUAAAUGUCUGCACAGGACCACAGGGGCUGCUGAGUCAGAGAGGGUGAAGCAGGAAGGAUAACAGAGGUUUUAUUUAAACAAAAUCUCUGCUUUCAAAAGAACGGAUGCAUUAUUAGCAGUGCAGUCUCAAAUGUGCGUCUGAAGCUCUCUCGGAGUGGCAGAAAUUCUACUUCCGAAACCGAAAGAAUAGUUAGAGACAUUGCCCUUCAAUGACCUUGAUUUGUCCAGCACUUCAGCAGUUACCAGCCAGAAUGCUAGAUCUGAUCUAAGAAUGAAAGAAUGCAAAAUAAUGCAGUCACUUUGGAAAACAGUUUGGCAGUUCCUCAAAAUAUUAAACAUAGAGUUACCAUGUGACCCAGCAGUCCCACUUGUAGAUAUAGACACCACCCCACAAAUGAAAACAUAUAUAUGCCCAAAAACCUGUGAGCGAAUUUUCAUAGCAACAUUUUCAUCAUAGCUAAAUAGUAGAAAUAAAUCAAAUGUCCAUCAACUCAUGCAUGAAAAAAAUAAAAUAUAGUAUUAUCCACACAAUAGGAUAUGCAAUAAAAAAGGAAUAAAGUACAGAUACACACUACAAUGUGGAUGGACCUUGAAAGCAUGCUCUGCAGCCAGUCACAAAAUAUCACAUAGUAUAUGUUGCCACUUGUAUGGAAUAUCCGGAAUAGGUAAAUUCAUAGAGAGAUUAAGUAAAUUGCUGGUUGUCUAGGGCUGAGAGGAGAGGGCUGGGAGAGACAGGAAGUGACUGCCAAUGGGCACAGGUUCCUUUUGGGGGUGAUGAAAAUGUUCUAAAAGUAGAUAGUGGUAAUGAUUGUUCAACUCUGUGAAUAUACUAAAAGCCUUUGAAUUGUACAAUUUAAGUGGGUGAAUUAUAUGGUGUGUGUGUGUGUGUGUGUGUAUAUAUAUAUAUAUGAUUUAUAUCACAAUGUGAAGCUAUUAAAGACAUGCAUGGGGGAAGAGAGAGACUGUCCUAUAAAUAUCUGUCCUAGAAUAUGAGGAUAAGAUACAGCAUUGAUUCUUGACAAUACUAAGAUGUUAAGAAGUUGCUUUUCCCAAUUUCUUCUCUACCAUACCCUCAAAGCCUCAUCUUGCCACCUGACCACAGCCCAGUUUCUCAACAAUUUCCCCAGCUUGUUGAUCAUGCUACUAAUUCACAUCCUGUCUCUCCCCUCCACCCCCACCCUCCUAAAUAAACCC
Molecule: non-coding RNA, 4782 nt
Organism: Callithrix jacchus (white-tufted-ear marmoset)
Lineage: Eukaryota; Metazoa; Chordata; Mammalia; Primates; Cebidae
Source: RefSeq, a predicted model, not a curated record